This 570-nucleotide ribosomal RNA is filed under the name Russula sp. Its description in RNAcentral is "SSU rRNA". It matches the Rfam family "Bacterial small subunit ribosomal RNA", at positions 345 to 965 of the family's 1533-position model. The record is from RNAcentral. Lineage: Eukaryota; Fungi; Basidiomycota; Agaricomycetes; Russulales; Russulaceae.
CAGGCAGUCAAAGAAUAUUAGUCAAUGCUCGAAAGAGUGACUAGCUACUGAAUCAAUUAUAAAAAUUGAUAACAUAAGGGAAAAUAAUGAUAUUACCUUAUUAUUAGUGUCGUCCAAAUCUGGUGCCAGAAGACUCGGUAAGGCCAGAGACACAAACGUUAAUCGUCUUAAUCAGGCGUAAAGGGUUUGUAGGCGGCUUUAAAAUUUAAUUAAUUUAUAAUAAAAAAUAAUUAAAGAAUAAAAGCUAGAAUCAAAUAGAGGAUAUAUGAAAUAAUGCUUAGAGUAGGUCCGAUAUCUUUAGAUACUAAGUAGAAUAUUAAAGGCGAAAGCUUUUUUCCAUUAAUGAUUGACGCUCAGAAACGAAGGUGAGGAUAGGAAAUAGGAUUAGAUACCCAGAAUACCCCUCUCUGUCAACGAUGAAUGGUAGUUAUUAGUACAAAUUUAUUAAUGGCAAUGUUAACACGAUAACCAUUCCGCCUUGUGAGUACAACUGCAAAGUUGAAAACAAAAAAAUUAGUCGGUUUCGGAGCAAACGAAGUGAAGCAUGUUAUUUAAUUCGAUAAAUCCGCA